RNAcentral lists this long non-coding RNA (2231 nucleotides) under Gallus gallus (chicken). RNAcentral's name for it is "lncRNA (ENSGALG00010028287.1)". Lineage: Eukaryota; Metazoa; Chordata; Aves; Galliformes; Phasianidae. The record is from RNAcentral.
CCGCCCCGCGGGGAGCGCCGCCCGCAGGACUACGUCCCCCACAGUGCACCGCGGCGGCACCGCCCGCGGGGAGGGGCGGUGGAGGCGGCGGGGCAGAGCGGAGAGGAGCAGAGCGGCCCUCUGCCGGGCUCGGUGCGUAUGGAAUGGAGCGAGCGCCGGGGCUGAAGUCAGCGACGGGAAACCGAGCGACAAAAACAGAAGGUCUCGGCGGCGUGCGGUACAGGAAGGCGCCCAGAGCUCAGGAGCAGCCGCGCUCAGCGGGUCUCGCAGAGCGGAGCGCUUCACGGAACCGCUGCCAGAGAGAGAACCCUGCGCGGAGCCGCCCCCGGGGCUGCAGCGCCGGCAGCGGGCGUGGGGGAGGGCAGAGCCGGGCCUGGGGCUUCGGGCACGCUUCCAUGUCUGACGCCGUUUUGUCAGACCGCCCCUCGGCGCCGUCUGCCACACGGCAGCGCGUCCGGAACGUUGGUGGGAAGAUUCAGCCUCUGCUGCAGUCCCACCAACGUCCACCUCUGAUAUCGUGGGCCAACGUCAUAGAAUAAGAGGCGUUACUUUCAGAGCAGCCCUCGCAUUUUAGACUUCUAUCAAAGAUCAGUAGUUAAUGGUUGCUUUGCAGUUGCAGCAACACUCGUGCUACAAAAGACUAAACGCAGCCAUUAGCAGCCCAGCCCACCAGCAGCAGUACCACAGAUGAAACCUAAUCACUACAAGCACAAGAGUGGCAGAAAAUUCACCACCACACGUAUGUAUGUCCCUGGUGCCUGGCUGCUCGCUUGCAAGCACUUGCGAGAUGGGUGGAGGUCAGCAGGCUUCAAAAGCAGUUGAAAACAAAAAGACAGUUCCUUCUUAAAGGAGAUCCAAUAGCAGGCAGUGCUGGGACACGAUCGCGGACACCAUGGUGUGGUUCCAGCUUGCCAGAAUGAAGGUACAGCGGGCAGCACUCAGCAUCGAAAGCAUGCAAGAAGAAAGCCAGGAUAUCCCCUAACGGAGCUGCACAGCUGUGGUUAUUAUCCUGACACUGCAACAUAAGCAAAGCAAACAAAAGUAAUGCUUAAGUGACAAUGCAAGAAAGAAACUGGAGACUGGAUUCCUCACCAAAGCCACUGGAAGGUUUUCAGUCUCCCUCUCACUGGUUCUGCAGGAGCAGUUGUGCAAGCAGUGUUACACACCCCAGCAUGCCUUCCUGCUGGAUCACCACAGCACCAUAAAAUUUAUAAAUCAAUCCUCAGUGCUUCAUCUGGGAAGCACAGGAGAACUGAGCCAUAAGCAGUCAGACCUUUCACACUGUGCAUAUGAAUGUAUGAAUGAGGUCAUGUUUUCAAGGCUUCUACACUCCUGAGAGGUGGUUGCCCCUCCAUGUGACACAGCGGCCUCUUCUCAAUUUUCACUCUACCUUCUCUUUUCAUUACAGAAGGAAAAGAGAGGCAAAAAACCACUGCGUUGCACUUGAUAUGAUAGAGAUGCUCACAGAGCAACUGCAGUUUCUGUCUCUCCCACAUCUGUCAGCCUCAGGGUCAUCCAAAAUAUGGGAACAUGCAAAAACAAAAGUCCAAGAGGACAGCGUUGUGCACUCAGGGAGGUUGCUGUAGCCCAGGGAGACCCGACAGCACCAAGGAAAUGCAGGUGAAAAGAUGGAGACAAAGCAACAUGGAAGUGGGAGGAUGUGAGCAGUGAGCAACAGCUGCUUUGGAACAGAGUUGCCUCCACACCUACUCUGUUGAAAGCAAGUCCUUAGAAGUAAAAGCAGAAGAGGAGAAAGGGGGAAAAGCAAUACAAGGACCCAAAAUGUUCCCCCAUUCCUUCACCCCAGGGAGGCAGCCUGGCUACACUGGAACUAUCUAAAAUUCCCACUGUUUCAAAUGGAUGCUUUUUCAGCACCGUUUGUAUAGGCUGAACCAAACUGCCUUGGUGUAUGCUGGAAGCACAGCUCUGACUUCUGAAGCAUCCCAGUAAAUCCACAUCAUGGAACAAGACGCAGGCAGACAAGAGCAGAAGUGGAGUCCUUCCAUGGAGAAAACAGACAAGUGGGAAUUUUAUCCCUGUAAGAACGUUUCAUUCCUGGGUGAAAUUAGCACCAUCUGUUCCAUCUUCACUGCAUUUUUCCUUAGAAGCUCCUGCCUUGUUGCAGAAUCAGCGAGAAGACCAGGGCAAGAGGCAAACAGUUAUCAGGUUUUUUUAACACCACUUCAGCUACUUCUCCACUCAGAAGGGCUGUCCAUGCAAUUGAGUAACAC